This is a long non-coding RNA of Cyprinus carpio (common carp), 308 nucleotides long. RefSeq lists it as uncharacterized. The record is from RefSeq and is a predicted model, not a curated record. NCBI's taxonomy places the organism in Eukaryota, Metazoa, Chordata, Actinopteri, Cypriniformes, Cyprinidae. The transcript is spliced from 4 exons.
ACUGGAAAAGAAGAUCAGAGAUGGAUCUUAAAAAUAAAUGUAGGUGUGACAGAAGAAGAGUUUUCUCUCAUCUCGCGCAUCCAAGCAUGUGCCAAGUGUUGCCACGGUAACCCAGAGUGAACGAUGAUGCAUGACAAACAGCGGAGAAUCAAACGGAUGGUUUGUUGAACUGAAGGUUGUGAGGAAGGACGUUUGUGUCUGUGCUUGAAGCGACAGCUUCAGUGUGAACGAAUGCAGAGCGACAGAGCUGUGCAAUUUCACUGAGACCCGGAGACGGACUCGGCUCAUGUAUGAAGCUGUAAGUGGCA